RNAcentral lists this unclassified non-coding RNA (148 nucleotides) under soil metagenome. RNAcentral's name for it is "partial internal transcribed spacer 1". The record is from RNAcentral.
CCGAGUUUACAACUCCCAAACCCCUGUGAACAUACCACUUGUUGCCUCGGCGGAUCAGCCCGCUCCCGGUAAAACGGGACGGCCCGCCAUGAGGACCCCUAAACUCUGUUUCUAUAUGUAACUUCUGAGUAAAACCAUAAAUAAAUCA